RNAcentral lists this ribosomal RNA (429 nucleotides) under Chloroflexota bacterium. RNAcentral's name for it is "Chloroflexi bacterium partial 16S ribosomal RNA". It matches the Rfam family "Bacterial small subunit ribosomal RNA", at positions 355 to 776 of the family's 1533-position model. Lineage: Bacteria; Bacillati; Chloroflexota. The record is from RNAcentral.
UGGGGAAUAUUGCACAAUGGGCGCAAGCCUGAUGCAGCCAUGCCGCGUGUAUGAAGAAGGCCUUCGGGUUGUAAAGUACUUUCAGUCGGGAGGAAGGUGUCAAGGUUAAUAACCUUGGCAAUUGACGUUACCGACAGAAGAAGCACCGGCUAACUCCGUGCCAGCAGCCGCGGUAAUACGGAGGGUGCAAGCGUUCAUCGGAAUUACUGGGCGUAAAGCGCACGCAGGCGGUUGAUUGAGUCAGAUGUGAAAUCCCCGGGCUUAACCCGGGAAUUGCAUCUGAUACUGGUCAGCUAGAGUCUUGUAGAGGGGGGUAGAAUUCCAUGUGUAGCGGUGAAAUGCGUAGAGAUGUGGAGGAAUACCGGUGGCGAAGGCGGCCCCCUGGACAAAGACUGACGCUCAGGUGCGAAAACGUGGGGAGCAAACAGG